GAUGAACGCUGGCGGCGUGCCUAACACAUGCAAGUCGAACGGAAAGGCCCCAGCUUGCUGGGGUACUCGAGUGGCGAACGGGUGAGUAACACGUGGGUGAUCUGCCCUGCACUUUGGGAUAAGCUUUGGAAACUGGGUCUAAUACCGAAUAUGACCACUUCUUGGAUGUUGUGGUGGAAAGCUUUUGCGGUGUGGGAUGAGCCUGCGGCCUAUCAGCUUGUUGGUGGGGUAAUGGCCUACCAAGGCGGCGACGGGUAUCCGGCCUGAGAGGGUGUACGGACACAUUGGGACUGAGAUACGGCCCAGACUCCUACGGGAGGCAGCAGUGGGGAAUAUUGCACAAUGGGCGCAAGCCUGAUGCAGCGACGCCGCGUGGGGGAUGACACAUUUCGGUGCGUAAACUCCUUUUAUAUGAGAAGAUAAUGACGGUAUUAUAUGAAUAAGCACCGGCUAACUCCGUGCCAGCCGCCGCAGUAA
Molecule: ribosomal RNA, 477 nt
Filed under: uncultured bacterium
Lineage: Bacteria
Description: partial 16S ribosomal RNA
Rfam family: Bacterial small subunit ribosomal RNA
Source: RNAcentral